GGCUGUCAACUUUUCCAAAACGACUUUAUGGGUGCAAUACGAAAGCGGCUUUAGUUGUGAAUAAUUAACAAAUAUAUUUGGCUAGGCCUUGAGCUAGAGAUCUGCAAAAACAGGACCGGAAAUUUUUUUUAGAAAAUUUCGGAUUCGGGCCAGGCUAGAAAAAUUAGGCCCAAUGCAGAUCACUACCUUGAGUCAACAAUCCCGAGGUCGAAGUUAGAAUUCACGCUAGACGACCAUUUUUGUGGAUUUAGAUAAAAUUCAAAACAAUUCUCAGCUUUCUGAAUCAUUUAGUCUGGAGACAACCGAACUAUCCGAGAAGGCGGUGGAUGUUGUAACUUUAUCGGAUGAAUUCUUAGUACUACAUGUCUGACUUUCUGGAAUAUAUUUAAACCAUAUGAGAGUACUAUCAAUCAAAGUAUAUUACGAGGUCAACGAUAAA
Gordionus sp. m RMFG-2023 is the source of this 439-nucleotide long non-coding RNA. RefSeq lists it as uncharacterized. The record is from RefSeq and is a predicted model, not a curated record. The transcript has 3 exons. NCBI's taxonomy places the organism in Eukaryota, Metazoa, Nematomorpha, Gordioida, Chordodea, Parachordodidae.